UGGAACAAUGUAGGCAAGGGAAGUUGGCAAAAUGGAUCCGUAACUUCGGGAUAAGGAUUGACUCUGAGGGCUGGUGAUCGCUGCCAACUCCGCACCACUAAAAAGUAGCGAGAGGGUCGCAAUAGCUUUUACCCGAUUUGUGGGUCGGGAUCGAAUCCACAGAGAGCUAGGAUUGGAAUCGAGUAUCUAUUUAGCUUAGGAUUCCGUAUGUGCUCUUAAUUGGUCUUCUAUUCAUUUUUGAUUUUUCUUUAUAUUCUA
This 258-nucleotide ribosomal RNA is filed under the name Nicotiana attenuata. Its description in RNAcentral is "rRNA LSU_rRNA_eukarya". It matches the Rfam family "Eukaryotic large subunit ribosomal RNA", at positions 1891 to 2086 of the family's 3401-position model. The record is from RNAcentral. Lineage: Eukaryota; Viridiplantae; Streptophyta; Magnoliopsida; Solanales; Solanaceae.